RNAcentral lists this ribosomal RNA (429 nucleotides) under Bacteroidota bacterium. RNAcentral describes it as "Bacteroidetes bacterium partial 16S ribosomal RNA". It matches the Rfam family "Bacterial small subunit ribosomal RNA", at positions 355 to 776 of the family's 1533-position model. Lineage: Bacteria; Pseudomonadati; Bacteroidota. The record is from RNAcentral.
UAGGGAAUCUUCCGCAAUGGACGCAAGUCUGACGGAGCAACGCCGCGUGAGUGAAGAAGGAUUUCGGUUCGUAAAACUCUGUUGUUAGAGAAGAACAGCGCAUAGAGUAACUGUUAUGCGUGUGACGGUAUCUAACCAGAAAGCCACGGCUAACUACGUGCCAGCAGCCGCGGUAAUACGUAGGUGGCAAGCGUUGUCCGGAUUUAUUGGGCGUAAAGCGAGCGCAGGCGGUCAAUUAAGUCUGAUGUGAAAGCCCCCGGCUCAACCGGGGAGGGUCAUUGGAAACUGGUUGAAUUGAGUGCAGAAGAGGAGAGUGGAAAUCAAUGUGUAGCGGUGAAAUGCGUAGAUAUAUGGAGGAACACCAGUGGCGAAGGCGACUCUCUGGUCUGUAACUGACGCUGAGGCUCGAAAGCGUGGGUAGCAAACAGG